UUGUCUUCUAAAUAAAGACUAGUAUGAACGGCUAAAUGAGGACAAAACUGUCUCUUAUGACUAAUCAGUGAAACUGAUCUACCAGUACAAAAGCUGGUAUUACUACAUAAGACGAGAAGACCCUGUGGAGCUUAAAACAAACCACUACCCCAUAAGACCCCUAGUGUACUGUUUUAAGUUGGGGCGACUUCGGAACAAAACAAAACUUCCGAGCAUAGAUCCACCAGAUCAAACCAAGGCCUACAAGCCAAAAUAAAAACUGACCCGGCCCAAGCCGAUCAACGAACCAAGUUACCCCAGGGAUAACAGCGCUAUCUUCUUCAAGAGUCCAUAUCGACAAGAAGGUUUACGACCUCGAUGUUGGAUCAGGACACCCAAGUGGUGCAGCCGCUACUAAAGGUUCGUUUGUUCAACGAUU
This 418-nucleotide ribosomal RNA is filed under the name Eutropis multifasciata (many-lined sun skink). Its description in RNAcentral is "partial 16S ribosomal RNA". It matches the Rfam family "Bacterial large subunit ribosomal RNA", at positions 1969 to 2589 of the family's 2925-position model. Lineage: Eukaryota; Metazoa; Chordata; Lepidosauria; Squamata; Scincidae. The record is from RNAcentral.